Long non-coding RNA from Acipenser ruthenus (sterlet), 190 nucleotides. RefSeq lists it as uncharacterized. NCBI's taxonomy places the organism in Eukaryota, Metazoa, Chordata, Actinopteri, Acipenseriformes, Acipenseridae. The transcript is spliced from 2 exons. The record is from RefSeq and is a predicted model, not a curated record.
CACGGGUACAUCGGGGGUAUGCUGUCUAUAUGUACACACACAGGUACAUCGGGGGUAUGCUGUCUAUAUGUACACACACAGGUACAUCGGGGGUAUGCUGUCUAUAUGUACACACACACACACACACACAGGUACAUCGGGGGUAUGCUGUCUAUAUGUACACACACACACACACACACACACACACACA